GAUCUUCAGUACGAGUCAUUGCUUUAGCUUAACUUUUAACCAAUUUAAAUAAUUGGUCUAGUGUUAAUUUGGAAAGUCUUCCUGUUAAAGGGAAGUCUUUCUUCUAGGAAAUCUUCCCGUUAAAGGGAAGUUUUUCCGUUCUUGUUGCCACGUGGAUCCUCAGUAGGAGGCAUUGCUUAAGCUUUCAUAACUUUUAACCAAUGUUUGAUAACCGGUUUUUAUUUUUUUGAACGCCUUCUUGUUAAAGAGAAGCUUUUCUUUUCUACUGUCACUACAUGCAUGUUCAUUACGAGGUAUUGCCUAAGCUUACUUGUAAAACGUAACAAAUUUAAAUUGGUGCAGUGUAAACUUCUUUUGGAAAGUCUUCCUGUAAAAGGGAAGUUUUUCCUCUCCACUGUCACCAGAUGGGAUCCUCAGUACGAUUCAUUGCUUUAGCUUAAAUUUUAACCAAUUUAAAUAAUUGGUACAGUGUUUACCUUAUUUUGAAAAGUCUUAAUACUAAAUGGAAGUUUUUUUGGAAAGUCUUGUUAUCACAUGGAUCCUCAUUAGGAGACAUUGCUUAAGUUUAUUUACUUGGUGCAUUGUUCACUUAUUUUAUUAUUUUAAUUUUUUUAAAGGGGUUAGUUGCCAUUCGGUCGGGUUUGUGCAAAAACGAAUCUACUGACGGGUAAGGGCUUGGUUGCCCUUUGGUCAAGUUUGUGCAGAACAACCCCUACCGAUGGGUAGAGGUGUGAAAAUAAACCGACCAAACUUACAUUUUUCUGUCAAAUAUUUGUAUGAAAUCCAUUAUAAAGACUACUAAGAAAGUAACAAUAAAAAUAACAUUGCAGUGAUGACAAAAACCGUCAAAACAAACCACUCAUGGGGAGAAAAGUUCUCAAGUGCCCCAUCCACUCCCUGACUGCUGCCGACAAUGACUGACGGAAAAAGCCUUCAUCACCCCCACUACUGAUGGAUGACCUCAGUGAGCCUGCCAUCGGACUCAGAAGUCUUACUCAAGAAGGUAUUUUACUGUUGUUUAAGAGGUGAUGAUUUCGUAGUUAAAGUGUUUGACCUUAAACCUGCACCGGUCUUGUUGUCUUUCUGUCCAGUAGUCCUUCAGUAAUCCUCCUGAAUCACCUGGUUUUUCAUCGGGUGAUGAAAAACCAGUUUCAUCACAAAACAUACAAAACCCCAAAAGUAGAUGCCAAAAGGUUCAAAGCUUAUAAUUCUAAUGUUAAUUCACAACAACGUUGUCAAGGCAUUUUACGAAAAGUCAUUUCAAUUUUGUCAGAUUACUAUUGAUCCAAGUUAUCAAUUCCUUAAGUUCAGUUAAUUAUAAAGUGGUUUAAAAAGUUUGUACCAAACGAAACCCAGCAGAUUGUUUGGAGUCAUUACGUAUAGCAUUCACUCCCCCGGACCAGCAGGGGGCGGUAGCAAAUUGCUUGUGUUGAGUUGUUGUCUUUACAGCAGUACUUCAUGCAGAGCAUGCAUGCUGUGACAGUGGAGAGAAAGAACUCCCCUCCACCAGGAACAAACCAACAGCAGAACCAGAACCGGGCUUGGUACCAGCAGCCAUUUGCCAUGACCGAUUGUAGCAGAGAGGAGACAAAGCAGAAACACAACAACAGAGCGGUCAAUGACUGAGCAGUGGGGUGUGUGUACCUGAAAGAAGAAGAAAAGUACAUUCUUGGAAAAGACAUUAAAAGAGGCACAGCAGCAGAUGCAGAUGAGGUAUACUACCCCCAAAACUUUGAUCUGCAAUCAAAGUCUUGGGGGUGAUGGACUAAAAUAUGUUCAGUGAUCCCAGAUGAUGGACAGAAAACACCAUUCUUAUGUGUCUGCAUAUCUACCAUUCGGUGUAAAUGGGCCUUGAUGGCGGCUGGGGAGGAGAUGGACAGUAUCGAUGUUGGUGUUUCUUUUUUCUGUUGGAUGGAUUUCCAGAUUAUGCUUGUAGUGAUGACCAGACAGGGUGGUAAAUGCAGAUAAGAGAAGCAGACCAUUCUUUUACAAUUAUGUCUUACAGGUUGGCUGAUCCUCUUUAGGUCUUUGUGAAUGAAGACUAAAGAUAAAUUGUCAGUCAAAAGUUUGACAAAAACCUCUAGUGUCAUAUAUGUCUAAGAACUUUAAAAAGUCUAAAAUUCCUUUACAGAGAAUACUAUACGGAUGAAUGGAUGUUCAUAGUGGGCUUGGCAUCAUCGAGUACCAGCUUAGUGCACAGGCAGUACACCUGACAAUUACAUGCAUUGUGACUCUGUUCACUUGUUUAGAGGUUCUAGUUUAGAGGUUCUAGUGCCACAUAUGUAAUAUAAUGGAUUUUAAAUAGUGGAAAUGGGGGUGUCUGUAGUGGUCACCACCACCUCCUCCCCCAUUUUAAGUGCAGUAUAUAACAACAUGUAUCAAUGCUCCGAGCCUGGCAAGUCUUGAGUCAGUUGAGACUGGAGAUGACGUUCUUGUUCUUCAUUUUAGUAGUUCAUUUUAUUUCAUUUCUGUUCCUGGUUUGGUGGUUUGGCUUCGGGUUUUCAGCGGGUUCCAGGUUUUCAGUGGUGUUUGGUGGCAAUCAGUGGAGUGGCUUUUCUUUGGCGGAGGAGGCUAGCUGUCGGCUUGGUGCAACAUUUAUGAGCUUGGGGGUAGGGAUAUAGGUGUACUGCCAGGAAACACCAGGCACAUGCUGGGGUGCCUCCAGGCUCAUGGUGUGAACUACUCAUAAAGCAUCAUUUGAUUCAGAUGUGUUGAACCAAGAAUAGAACUAUAGCAGGCAGACUACUGGCCAUUGAAGACCAUCUUUUCAUGGAUCUAGGCACACAGAGAGAAGCAGAAUUGGUAUCAUCUGUAUCAUCUGUUUCAUCAACAGAUGAUUGAUGAAUGAAGCAACUUGGAGGCUUGAUUACUGCAGCUGAAACAAUUGGGUAAUGUUUAGAGCAGGAGCCUUCAACUCCUUCAACUUUUCAAUGUGUUCCUGGUCCAAUACACCUGAGUCAAAUGGCUGAACUUCCUCCUCAGUCUGCAGAAAAGUGAUUUAGAGUCCUGGUAAUGAGCUGAUUAUUUGAUUCAUGUCUACUGAAGAAGAGAUGCAUCUAAAAGUUGCAGGGCAGCAACUUUUAGCUCUUGAGGUCUGGAUUUGAAGACCCCUGGUUUAGAGAGCACAGGUUUUCUCUUUUCACAAAGUUAAUGACUCAAAUGGGGAACUACCCAUUAUAUAGUCAAUAGAAGAACUUGGUGCUGUAAAGGAUGCUCCAGAGUGCCCUGGAAUGCUUCACCCUGUUAAAUCUUUAUUUUUGAACUAAACGUACUGUAGGUGCUGCACUUCUGAACAUUAA
Molecule: long non-coding RNA, 3299 nt
Organism: Xiphophorus couchianus (Monterrey platyfish)
Lineage: Eukaryota; Metazoa; Chordata; Actinopteri; Cyprinodontiformes; Poeciliidae
Exons: 3
Source: RefSeq, a predicted model, not a curated record